UGGUGCUCCGAUGAAAUGGGAGGUGAACUAUAGCAGUGAAUGCCAUAAUUAUUAUGGUGACAAUGGAUCUUGCUAGUGCACUAGAUGGUCGCCCAUCUCUUAUGCAUAGAACUUGCAUCAAAGGUGACACGGAGAGAUAGCUUCCAAUGACUUGCAUUAUGGUCUCCCAGGAUGUGCAUCUCGAGUAAAAUGGAGGCAGCGCUCAAAGAUGGCCACAAAAGAGGAGUCGGCCAUGCAAGUUCUUGUGGAUACACCAAUGAU
Molecule: long non-coding RNA, 261 nt
Filed under: Elaeis guineensis (African oil palm)
Lineage: Eukaryota; Viridiplantae; Streptophyta; Magnoliopsida; Arecales; Arecaceae
Description: long non-coding RNA (EGUI_LNC034753)
Source: RNAcentral